GUGGGGAAUAUUGGGCAAUGGGGGCAACCCUGACCCAGCGACGCCGCGUGAGGGAAGACGGCCUUCGGGUUGUAAACCUCUUUUGUACGGGAAGAAGGAUGUGACGGUACCGUGCGAAUAAGUCCCGGCUAACUACGUGCCAGCAGCCGCGGUAAUACGUAGGGGACGAGCGUUGUCCGGAAUUACUGGGCGUAAAGGGCGCGCAGGCUGUAGAUCAAGUCAGCUGUGAAAUGUCUGGGCUUAACCCGGGCAUGCGGUUGAAACUGAUGUACUGGAGUGCUGUAGAGGCAAGUGGAAUUCCCAGUGUAGCGGUGAAAUGCGUAGAUAUUGGGAAGAACACCGGUGGCGAAGGCGACUUGCUGGGCAGCAACUGACGCUGAGGCGCGAAAGCCAGGGGAGCAAACGGGAUUAGAAACCCGGGUAGUCC
This 427-nucleotide ribosomal RNA is filed under the name uncultured bacterium. Its description in RNAcentral is "partial 16S ribosomal RNA". It matches the Rfam family "Bacterial small subunit ribosomal RNA", at positions 354 to 796 of the family's 1533-position model. The record is from RNAcentral.